RNAcentral lists this ribosomal RNA (1082 nucleotides) under marine metagenome. RNAcentral describes it as "bacterial SSU rRNA". It matches the Rfam family "Bacterial small subunit ribosomal RNA", at positions 310 to 1425 of the family's 1533-position model. The record is from RNAcentral.
AGAGGGGGACUGAGACACGGCCCCCACUCCUACGGGAGGCAGCAGCUAAGAAUAUUGCACAAUGGACGAAAGUCUGAUGCAGCGACACCGCGUGAGGGAUGACAGCUUUAGGGUUGUAAACCUCUUUUAUUAGGGAAUAGCAAGGAAGGUACCUAAUGAAUAAGCUACGGCUAACUACGUGCCAGCAGCCGCGGUAAUACGUAGGUAGCGAACGUUGUCCGGAAUCACUGGGCGUAAAGGGUCCGUAGGCGGUUUAAUAAGUCUCAUAUGAAAGCUCCAAGCUCAACUUGGAGAUGUUGUGAGAUACUGUUAGACUUGAGGCUGUUAGAGGCAAGUGGAAUUCCAGGUGUAGUGGUGAAAUGCGUAGAUAUCUGGAGGAACACCAGUGGCGAAAGCGACUUGCUGGGACAGUUCUGACGCUAAGGGACGAAAGCGUGGGGAGCAAACCGGAUUAGAUACCCGGGUAGUCCACGCUGUAAACGAUGAUUGCUAGGUUUUCGAGGCAUCGACCCCUCGUGAGCCGAAGUUAACGCGUUAAGCAAUCCGCCUGAGUAGUACGGCCGCAAGGCUAAAACUCAAAGAAAUUGACGGGGGACCGCACAAGCAGCGGAGCGUGUGGUUUAAUUCGAUGGUAAGCGAAGAACCUUACCUGGGUUUGACAUGUAAGUAGUACUGAACCGAAAGGGGAAGGACCCGCAAGGGAGCUUACACAGGUGUUGCAUGGUUGUCGUCAGCUCGUGCCGUGAGGUGUUGGGUUAAGUCCCGCAACGAGCGCAACCCUCUUCGUUAGUUACACUCUCUAACGAUACUGCCCCUAAAAGGGAGGAAGGUGGGGAUGACGUCAAAUCAUCAUGGCUCUUACACCCAGGGCUACACACACGCUACAAUGGCAAGUACAAACGGUCGCCAACCCGCGAGGGGGAGCCAAUCCGAUAAAACUUGUCUCAGUUGGGAUUGCAGGCUGAAAUUCGCCUGCAUGAACGUGGAGUUGCUAGUAAACGCAGGUCAGCAUACUGCGUUGAAUACGUUCCCGGUCCUUGUACACACCGCCCGUCACGUCAUGGAAGUUGGUAACACUUGAA